GGAAAUUGAAGGUCAAAGAAGCCCCCGGAGCUCAGGUAAGGCUCUGACCUUUCUUUCUCUCGCUCUUCCCUUUCUCCUCUGGCCCCAAACUUCGCUGCCGGCGGGCCGAUUUUGCCAGAAAUCGAGAAGAAAAGAAGACCCUGUUUUGCUCUGUUCGGCCGAGCCAUCUCCCUCCCUUUUCGGGCCACCAGCGCCGCUAUCCAUGGUGCCGCACCCCUAGGUUUGGACCCCCACCUCUCUGCCUAUGUUUUCCGAAGGUCAUGGCCGCCGGUGAUCGGCCAAUGACCGGAGAAAUUCAAGAAAAAAGGGG
This 310-nucleotide long non-coding RNA is filed under the name Elaeis guineensis (African oil palm). RNAcentral describes it as "long non-coding RNA (EGUI_LNC074571)". Lineage: Eukaryota; Viridiplantae; Streptophyta; Magnoliopsida; Arecales; Arecaceae. The record is from RNAcentral.